AAAGUUCCGUAACAAGGUUUCCGUAGGUGAACCUGCGGAAGGAUCAUUAUAAUCCCCGGGCCUGGGAUGGGGGUAUAAAAGCCCCCUUCCCAUGCUCUUCAACCCUUUGUCUUUUGCGUACUGUAUGUUUCCUCGGCGGGUUCGCCCGCCGAUAGGACACUUCAAAACCUUUUGUAAUUGCAAUCAGCGUCAGAAAAACUAUAAUAGUUACAACUUUCAACAACGGAUCUCUUGGUUCUGGCAUCGAUGAANAACGCAGCGAAAUGCGAAAAGUAGUGUGAAUUGCAGAAUUCAGUGAAUCAUCGAAUCUUUGAACGCACAUUGCGCCCCUUGGUAUUCCAUGGGGCAUGCCUGUUCGAGCGUCAUUUGUACCCUCAAGCUCUGCUUGGUGUUGGGUGUUUGUCCCGCCUUCGCGCGUGGACUCUCCUUAAAGUGAUUGGCAGCCGGAAUAAUUCUGGGGAACGCAGCACAACUGCAGCCUCCAUUUUACGCCGAGCGUCCAGUAAGCCUUUUUUCAACGUUUGACCUCGGAUCAGGUAGGGAUACCCGCUGAACUUAAGCAUAUCAAUAA
This 571-nucleotide ribosomal RNA is filed under the name Alternaria sp. Its description in RNAcentral is "eukaryotic LSU rRNA". The stretch from base 212 to 365 matches the Rfam family "5.8S ribosomal RNA". The record is from RNAcentral. Lineage: Eukaryota; Fungi; Ascomycota; Dothideomycetes; Pleosporales; Pleosporaceae.